AAUCAACGCUGGCGGCGUGCCUAACACAUGCAAGUCGAGCGCGAAAGUCCCGCAAGGGAUGAGUAGAGUGGCAAACGGGUGAGUAACACGUGGGUGACCUGCCUUCGAGCGGGGGAUAACGUCCCGAAAGGGACGCUAAUACCGCAUGACAUCCUGCCUUUGAAGAGGUGGAGAUCAAAGCUGGGGAUCGCAAGACCUAGCACUUGAAGAGGGGCCCGCGUCUGAUAGCUAGUUGGUGGGGUAACGGCUCACCAAGGCAACGAUCAGUAUCCGGCCUGAGAGGGCGGACGGACACACUGGGACUGAGACACGGCCCAGACUCCUACGGGAGGCAGCAGUGGGGAAUUGUUCGCAAUGGGCGCAAGCCUGACGACGCAACGCCGCGUGGAGGAUGAAGACC
RNAcentral lists this ribosomal RNA (400 nucleotides) under uncultured bacterium. Its description in RNAcentral is "bacterial SSU rRNA". It matches the Rfam family "Bacterial small subunit ribosomal RNA", at positions 29 to 416 of the family's 1533-position model. The record is from RNAcentral.